RNAcentral lists this ribosomal RNA (1346 nucleotides) under uncultured bacterium. RNAcentral describes it as "partial 16S ribosomal RNA". It matches the Rfam family "Bacterial small subunit ribosomal RNA", at positions 28 to 1381 of the family's 1533-position model. The record is from RNAcentral.
GACGAACGCUGGCGGCGUGCUUAACACAUGCAAGUCGAACGGAAAGGCCCUGCUUUUGUGGGGUGCUCGAGUGGCGAACGGGUGAGUAACACGUGAGUAACCUGCCCUUGACUUUGGGAUAACUUCAGGAAACUGGGGCUAAUACCGGAUAGGAGCUCCUGCUGCAUGGUGGGGGUUGGAAAGUUUCGGCGGUUGGGGAUGGACUCGCGGCUUAUCAGCUUGUUGGUGGGGUAGUGGCUUACCAAGGCUUUGACGGGUAGCCGGCCUGAGAGGGUGACCGGCCACAUUGGGACUGAGAUACGGCCCAGACUCCUACGGGAGGCAGCAGUGGGGAAUAUUGCACAAUGGGCGGAAGCCUGAUGCAGCAACGCCGCGUGCGGGAUGACGGCCUUCGGGUUGUAAACCGCUUUCGCCUGUGACGAAGCGUGAGUGACGGUAAUGGGUAAAGAAGCACCGGCUAACUACGUGCCAGCAGCCGCGGUGAUACGUAGGGUGCGAGCGUUGUCCGGAUUUAUUGGGCGUAAAGGGCUCGUAGGUGGUUGAUCGCGUCGGAAGUGUAAUCUUGGGGCUUAACCCUGAGCGUGCUUUCGAUACGGGUUGACUUGAGGAAGGUAGGGGAGAAUGGAAUUCCUGGUGGAGCGGUGGAAUGCGCAGAUAUCAGGAGGAACACCAGUGGCGAAGGCGGUUCUCUGGGCCUUUCCUGACGCUGAGGAGCGAAAGCGUGGGGAGCGAACAGGCUUAGAUACCCUGGUAGUCCACGCUGUAAACGGUGGGUACUAGGUGUGGGGUCCAUUCCACGGGUUCCGUGCCGUAGCUAACGCUUUAAGUACCCCGCCUGGGGAGUACGGCCGCAAGGCUAAAACUCAAAGGAAUUGACGGGGCCCCGCACAAGCGGCGGAGCAUGCGGAUUAAUUCGAUGCAACGCGUAGAACCUUACCUGGGUUUGACAUGGAUCGGGAGUGCUCAGAGAUGGGUGUGCCUCUUUUGGGGUCGGUUCACAGGUGGUGCAUGGCUGUCGUCAGCUCGUGUCGUGAGAUGUUGGGUUAAGUCCCGCAACGAGCGCAACCCUUGUUCACUGUUGCCAGCACGUUAUGGUGGGGACUCAGUGGAGACCGCCGGGGUCAACUCGGAGGAAGGUGGGGAUGACGUCAAGUCAUCAUGCCCCUUAUGUCCAGGGCCUCACGCAUGCUACAAUGGCUGGUACAGAGAGUGGCGAGCCUGUGAGGGUGAGCGAAUCUCGGAAAGCCGGUCUCAGUUCGGAUUGGGGUCUGCAACCCGACCUCAUGAAGUCGGAGUCGCUAGUAAUCGCAGAUCAGCAACGCUGCGGUGAAUACGUUCCCGGGGCU